RNAcentral lists this non-coding RNA (29 nucleotides) under Mus musculus (house mouse). The record is from RNAcentral. Lineage: Eukaryota; Metazoa; Chordata; Mammalia; Rodentia; Muridae.
UAAUUGCAUGGUAUGCUAGCAGUUUGGCA